AGCGAACGUUUGCGGCGGGCUUAACACAUGCAAGUCGAACGAGAAUCCCUUCGGGGAGGAAAGUGGCGCACGGGUGCGUAACACGUGGAUAACCAACCCAUUGGUUUGGGACAACACCGGGAAACUGGUGCUAAUACCAGAUGUGUCGCAGCUGUCUUCAGGCGGUUGCGAGAAAGGCCCGCAAGGGUCGCCAACGGACGGGUCCGCGUCCCAUCAGCUAGUUGGUGAGGUAAUGGCUCACCAAGGCAAAGACGGGUAGCUGGUCUGAGAGGAUGAUCAGCCACACUGGAACUGAGACACGGUCCAGACUCCUACGGGAGGCAGCAGUGGGGAAUAUUGCGCAAUGGGCGAAAGCCUGACGCAGCCACGCCGCGUGAGCGAUGAAGGUCUUCGGAUCGUAAAGCUCUGUGGGGAGAGAAGAAUAAAGCCUGUGAAGAGCGGGCCUUGACGGUAUC
Molecule: ribosomal RNA, 455 nt
Filed under: uncultured bacterium
Lineage: Bacteria
Description: bacterial SSU rRNA
Rfam family: Bacterial small subunit ribosomal RNA
Source: RNAcentral